This 501-nucleotide ribosomal RNA is filed under the name uncultured bacterium. RNAcentral describes it as "partial 16S ribosomal RNA". It matches the Rfam family "Bacterial small subunit ribosomal RNA", at positions 30 to 523 of the family's 1533-position model. The record is from RNAcentral.
AUUGAACGCUGGCGGCAGGCUUAACACAUGCAAGUCGAGCGGAGAUGAGGUGCUUGCACCUUAUCUUAGCGGCGGACGGGUGAGUAAUGCUUAGGAAUCUGCCUAUUAGUGGGGGACAACAUUCCGAAAGGAAUGCUAAUACCGCAUACGUCCUACGGGUGAAAGCAGGGGAUCAUCGGACCUUGCGCUAAUGGAUGAGCCUAAGUAGGAUUAGCUAGUUGGUGGGGUAAAGGCCUACCAAGGCGACGAUCUGUAGCGGGUCUGAGAGGAUGAUCCGCCACACUGGGACUGAGACACGGCCCAGACUCCUACGGGAGGCAGCAGUGGGGAAUAUUGGACAAUGGGGGGAACCCUGAUCCAGCCAUGCCGCGUGUGUGAAGAAGGCCUUAUGGUUGUAAAGCACUUUAAGCGAGGAGGAGGCUACUGAGACUAAUACUCUUGGAUAGUGGACGUUACUCGCAGAAUAAGCACCGGCUAACUCUGUGCCAGCAGCCGCGGUAA